UUCCUCGGGUUACCAGUUUGCUCCCAUCAGCCAGCACUUGGCUUUUGGGCUGGGGUAGGGGUGUCAGGGUGAUGCACACGGAUGUGGCGGCUUCACUGGGGGGGAGGCGCUUUUCUUCCCCCUUCUUGAAGUCCCAGUUCAAGGCCCAGGAACAAAGGGAGAGGUAACUGAUCUGUCCUCUGGUCUCUCUCCCUUCACUUCCACCCCCCUCACCUGCAGACCUGCAGGCCCUCCUCCUUGAUAAACAGAGGAAAGCCUGUGAGUUCAGGUACACAAGUAAGUAGUGCUGACCUGCGAGGCUCCCCCACUGAAAAUCAAAAACCCCAUUUUAGGUGUGCCUUGAGUCCCCACCACCUCCUCUCCCCCAGAUGUCACUGGACCCAAGGCUAUCUGCUUAGCCUCCCUCUCUUGUGAAAAACAUCCAGGACAACUAUUAAAUAGUUCCUGGAAGAGUUAAAGACAUCUCUCAGGUUUGAAACAGUUUUUUAAAGCCCUGUUUGGAAGAAAUCUUGGAGAAGUACAAAGCAUAAUCAGUAGGAUGGCCCGAGCAAGUUUGAAAGAUUUCUCCCCCAAAACGUUAACUAAAAAGAGUUUGUAGGUGUUGUUUUCUUUACUGAUGGGUGUUUCCCUGUUGUAACCUACAGAUUCUCAAGACCAAGCUAGUAAGACAUUUAGUUUCAUUUUGGUAGUUUCUGGGUGACACGAUACUUUCCGAUUAGACCUAAUUUAUUUAUUUUUUAAAACCUCUGCUGGAGAGUUUUCAACCUUGGAAAUAUAAAUGAAGCAUAGACUCUCCCUCCGAGAUUCUCACAUGGGCAGAAUGGAAGGACCCUGCCUGGCUCCCCUUCACACCUGGAAGUUGCCCUGCCUGAACCUAGAGUGCAGUGUCCCAGUCGGCUAAAUGGGCUUGUCUUCUGCCAGGAGGGACACAGUCCUGCAGGACAGAACAAAUGUUGGAUCUCCCAGGAAGCUCUUCGUCAAAACAUCCCUUGCCCUUUUGUUUUUGUUUUUGAAUUAAAAGAUGCGUUUUCUUUCCUCUCA
This is a long non-coding RNA of Lagenorhynchus albirostris (white-beaked dolphin), 1041 nucleotides long. RefSeq lists it as uncharacterized. NCBI's taxonomy places the organism in Eukaryota, Metazoa, Chordata, Mammalia, Artiodactyla, Delphinidae. The record is from RefSeq and is a predicted model, not a curated record. The transcript is spliced from 2 exons.